Long non-coding RNA from Neopsephotus bourkii (Bourke's parrot), 639 nucleotides. RefSeq lists it as uncharacterized. The record is from RefSeq and is a predicted model, not a curated record. NCBI's taxonomy places the organism in Eukaryota, Metazoa, Chordata, Aves, Psittaciformes, Psittacidae. The transcript is spliced from 3 exons.
AAUAGGUUUUGUAUUUUAAAUUGAUAUAAUCAAGACAAGUUAAGUGAAUUUCAUGACAUUUUUAAUAGGGAACUAAGCAAAGACCUAAAAAAUAGUUUUUAGUUUGAAGCUAUAUGGUUGUCUCAUCUUGGUUAAUGCUUAACUUUUUAUUACUGGCCUGUUGUAACAUUUCUGGAAAGCUGGUAGCACACACUACAUUGUUAAACUGGAAUGCAACUGGGCAUGAGGCCGAUUAAAUUACACUGGUUAAUGAAUCAUUCAAAAAAGUGAUAAGCAAGCCAUUUUACAUGGUCUCUUUCCAGCUCCACCACAGAAUUUCUUUGGGGUUUUUUACUGAAGUCAGCAGACCAGUAUAACAAUGGAAGCAUGUCUUGGAUCUGAGCCUAUCCUGCUGUAGCUGUUUGCCAACAUUGAUGCUGACAAAGGGGAAGCCUUACAUCAAAAGCAAUGAGAAGCCAAAUUUCUGUACGAGCUGGAGCUGCAGACCUAAAUCUAAAUGAAAGUAUUAUAUUUCUACUCCAGAAAAAUAAAGCAUUAAUUAAUAAAAGUUCAUUUACUUUUCCUUAAGUAGUCUCUCAUUCUACUGAUUUUUACCUGACUGGAAUUACCAUGGUCCUUUCCAACCCAAACUAUUCUAUG